This 390-nucleotide ribosomal RNA is filed under the name Longileptoneta sp. 1 HZ-2020. Its description in RNAcentral is "partial large subunit ribosomal RNA". It matches the Rfam family "Bacterial large subunit ribosomal RNA", at positions 1928 to 2607 of the family's 2925-position model. The record is from RNAcentral. Lineage: Eukaryota; Metazoa; Arthropoda; Arachnida; Araneae; Leptonetidae.
UAGCCGCAGAAAUCUGUGCUAAGGUAGCAUAAUCAUUUGUCUUCUAAUUAAAGACUAGAAUGAACGGUUAAACGAAUAGAAAAUUCUUAAUUAAACAUUAAAUUAAAUUGUAUUUGUUGUAAAAAUACAACAAUAAAAUAAAAAGACGACAAGACCCUAUCGAACUUAACAUCUGUUAUACUGGGGCAGUACAUCAAUAAAAAUUUCAUUACAAAACCUCCAAAAAAACCUUUUACAAAAUAUAAAGUUACCGUAGGGAUAACAGCGCAAUUUACUUUUAAAGUUCUUAUUUUAAAGUAAGAUUACGACCUCGAUGUUGAAUUAAUAUACCAAGCAAACGCAAAAUUUUGAUAGAAAGUCUGUUCGACCUUUAAAUAAUUACAUGAUCUG